Molecule: ribosomal RNA, 491 nt
Filed under: uncultured bacterium
Lineage: Bacteria
Description: partial 16S ribosomal RNA
Rfam family: Bacterial small subunit ribosomal RNA
Source: RNAcentral
GAUGAACGCUGGCUACAGGCUUAACACAUGCAAGUCGAGGGGAAACGACGGGGAAGCUUGCUUCCCCGGGCGUCGACCGGCGCACGGGUGAGUAACGCGUAUCCAAUCUGCCUCUGACUGAGGGAUAACCCGUCGAAAGUCGGCCUAAUACCUCAUGGCAUCGUCUGCGGGCAUCCAACGACGAUUAAAGAUUUCAUCGGUCAGGGAUGGGGAUGCGUCUGAUUAGCUUGUUGGCGGGGUAACGGCCCACCAAGGCUACGAUCAGUAGGGGUUCUGAGAGGAAGGUCCCCCACAUUGGAACUGAGACACGGUCCAAACUCCUACGGGAGGCAGCAGUUAGGAAUAUUGGGCAAUGGGCGGGAGCCUGAACCAGCCAAGUAGCGUGCAGGAUGACGGCCCUAUGGGUUGUAAACUGCUUUUAUGCGGGGAUAAAGUGAGGGACGUGUCCUUCAUUGCAGGUACCGCAUGAAUAAGGACCGGCUAAUUCCGUG